RNAcentral lists this long non-coding RNA (1385 nucleotides) under Oryctolagus cuniculus (rabbit). RNAcentral's name for it is "lncRNA (ENSOCUG00000036322.1)". The record is from RNAcentral. Lineage: Eukaryota; Metazoa; Chordata; Mammalia; Lagomorpha; Leporidae.
GUUGCAGAAACAGUGAGGCCUGAGCACAAAAGGAUAGCCCCAUCAAGGCCCAGGGGCCCAUCAAGCCAGUUCAGCACCAGGCAGUGUUGGGGAGAAAUAGCCCUGUCGAUAGGCACCCCACUAUCUCCCAGGAGAGAGGGGAGAUGUGUAUUAUUCCUAAGAAAGAAGCCAUUUCUCCCACACUCUGCAGAUCUGGGUCUCAAUUCAGUCAAAUGCCAGGCACUUGACUUCAAGAGAAGAAUAAACAGUGCAGGAAACCAGGGAGCUCAGCAGGGGCCACCCGAGGUCAAUGACCUUUCCUUACAGAAACAGGUGACCUCUGCUCUCAGGACACAAUCCCAAGGCUGUCAAGAGAUACACAAUUGGAAAAUAAGUCUCUCCCCAACACCUGACCCCAUCUGCCUGCUCUCCUCCCCAGAGACAACCCUGUCACCAGAUUCUUAGGUCUCCCUAAAGUGCAUAUUUAAAAGAAAUGUUGAGUGCACAUAGGUUUAAAUGAAAUCUAUUCUGCAUGUUCUUAAGGAAUUAGGAUUCAGAGACCUGUUCCAUCCUUCACCCACUGCCUCCCUGACUACUUAAUACUCCUACAUACAAAUCUCUCCACAGGUGGAAAAACCCUUUCACUCGGAGGUAGCUCAUCCCACUUUCAGAUCGUUCUGGUACUUCAUAAGAUAUUUUUAAAUUCUGUAAAUUUUCAAUCUCUUGGUUUGCCCUCAUAACUUUUGGCACUGACCUCUGGGGCCAGAGGAAACAGGUGGUCAAACGCCUGUCGUCUGUGAUGGAACUUGGAGCAUUCAAAGCCCUCACAUCUUCCCUCUGCAGAGCGACUGUUGCUCCCCUUCCACAGCGUGUGGUUCUGGGGGUCCAGCACCAUGUUCCCUCUGGACAAGACUAAGCUCUCAUGCAGCAGACUCAGAAACUUCUCUUUCAGGGAGACUCAUUCAUCAGAGGCAAACAGUGGCUUCCCAGUUAGGCACCAAGAAUGAACGGUGUCAUGAAGAUUGAUGGACAUGUGUAAGAGAGUGGGGCAAAUAUUAAGCCCAGUCAAUGCUGGUGAGACAGGCGUGGAGGUUUUACCCAGAGUUCUUCUGGCCAAGCAGAAGCUUUGCUGUACCUGCCCUGAUGACCUUCCAAGGUUAUGAAGUAGAGUCUGGAGUCCUGGUAUCAUCAUCUGUCAGGGUUAGAGGGUCUGCCAUGUGACAGGGAUCAGGAACACAGCCUCUCCUACAAGGCAUGGCCAAGUUAUUUAGCCUCGUGUAAGCCAGCACGUGCACUGAGGGAUCGACAACAUCGCAUCCAUACUCUGCACAGAGUGGGCUGCCGUGGUCCUGCGGUGGGGGCUGGGGUGCCACCUGGAACCUGUGUGCAAGGCCCCUCAGGGCUCU